AAUGUAAAAAGCUGUUUUUUGAUAUAAAUAUGAACUUGAUUGAACAAAACAUGCAUGUAUUGUAUAACAUAAUGUCCUAGGGUUGUCAUCUGAUGAAGAUCAUCAAAGGUUAGUGGUGCAUUUAGCUGUCUUCUGGGUUUUUGUGACAUUAUAUGCUAGCUUGAAAAAUGGGUGUCUGAUUAUUUCUGGCUUGGUACUCUGCUGACAUAAUCUAAUGUUUUGCUUUCGUUGUAAAGCCUUUUUGAAAUCGGACAGUGUGGUUAGAUUAACGAGAGUCUUGUCUUUAAAUAGCUGUAAAAGAGUCAUAUGUUUGAGAAAUUGAAGUAAUAGGAUUUUUAAUGUAUUUGAAAAUCGCGCCACUGGAUUAGACUGGCUGUUGCGUAGGUGGGACGAAUUCGUCCCGC
Molecule: long non-coding RNA, 404 nt
Filed under: Salmo salar (Atlantic salmon)
Lineage: Eukaryota; Metazoa; Chordata; Actinopteri; Salmoniformes; Salmonidae
Description: lncRNA (ENSSSAG00000087207.1)
Source: RNAcentral